GAUGAAGAACGUAGCGAAAUGCGAUAAGUAGUGUGAAUUGCAGAAUUCAGUGAAUCAUCGAAUCUUUGAACGCACAUUGCGCCCUUUGGUAUUCCAAAGGGCAUGCCUGUUCGAGCGUCAUUUGUACCCUCAAGCUCUGCUUGGUGUUGGGUGUUUGUCCCGCCUUGCGCGUGGACUCGCCUCAAAGCAAUUGGCAGCCGGCAUAUUGGCCUGGAGCGCAGCACAAUUUGCGCCUCUUGUCAUGAUUGUUGGCAUCCAUCAAGACCAUUUUUUUGCUCUUGACCUCGGAUCAGGUAGGGAUACCCGCUGAACUUAAGCAUAUCAAUAAGCGGAGGA
This 336-nucleotide unclassified non-coding RNA is filed under the name soil metagenome. Its description in RNAcentral is "partial contains 5.8S ribosomal RNA, internal transcribed spacer 2, and large subunit ribosomal RNA". The stretch from base 1 to 120 matches the Rfam family "5.8S ribosomal RNA", at positions 35 to 154 of the family's 154-position model. The record is from RNAcentral.